AAGACUAUACUUUCAGGGAUCAUUUCUUUAGUUGUUGAUUUGAGGAAUGUGUUUCUAAAGAGUUUGGUCUUGUUGUCCACGAUGAAGAGUUCAGAUGUUUCCAUCAGAGUAGAAAACUGGUGGUUUGGCUUUAUUUGUUAUUCACUGUUGAUGAUUGUUCAGAGUUUCUCAAAGACUCUCUAAUGGAGGAAAUGUGAUCUGAGUGUA
This is a small nucleolar RNA of Labrus bergylta (ballan wrasse), 207 nucleotides long. RefSeq annotates it as small nucleolar RNA U3. NCBI's taxonomy places the organism in Eukaryota, Metazoa, Chordata, Actinopteri, Labriformes, Labridae. The record is from RefSeq and is a predicted model, not a curated record.